Molecule: ribosomal RNA, 502 nt
Filed under: uncultured archaeon
Lineage: Archaea
Description: bacterial SSU rRNA
Rfam family: Archaeal small subunit ribosomal RNA
Source: RNAcentral
CUGCUAUCGGGGUUCGAUUAAGCCAUGCGAGUCGAGAGGUGCAAGACCUCGGCGCACUGCUCAGUAACACGUGGACAACCUACCCUGAGGAGGGGGAUAGCCCCGGAAAACUGGGGAUAAUACCCCAUAGAUUAGGGACGCUGGAAUGCCCCCUAGUUCAAAGGUCCGCCGCCUCAGGAUGGGUCUGCGGCCGAUUAGGUUGUUGUUGGGGUAACGGCCCAACAAGCCUUUGAUCGGUACGGGUUGUGGGAGCAAGAGCCCGGAGAUGGAUUCUGAGACACGAAUCCAGGCCCUACGGGGCGCAGCAGGCGCGAAAACUUUACAAUGCGAGAAAUCGUGAUAAGGGAACCCCGAGUGCCCGUAAAUUCGGGCUGUCCAUCAGUGCAAAAAACUGGUGAAGAAAGAGCCGGGCAAGACCGGUGCCAGCCGCCGCGGUAAUACCGGCGGCUCGAGUGGUGGCCACUAUUACUGGGCUUAAAGCGUCCGUAGCUUGGUUGUUAAG